This 270-nucleotide ribosomal RNA is filed under the name uncultured archaeon. RNAcentral's name for it is "partial 16S ribosomal RNA". It matches the Rfam family "Archaeal small subunit ribosomal RNA", at positions 477 to 747 of the family's 1478-position model. The record is from RNAcentral.
CUGCAGCUCAAGUGGUGACCGCUAUUAUUGGGCCUAAAACGUUCGUAGCCGGUUUGGUAAAUGUUUGGGUAAAUCGUGUAGCUUAACUAUACGAAUUCCGGAUAGACUGCCAAACUUGAGACCGGGAGAAGCUAGAGGUACUCCUGGGGUAGAGGUGAAAUUCUGUAAUCCUAGGGGGACCACCAGUGGCGAAGGCGUCUAGCUAGAACGGGUCUGACGGUGAGGAACGAAGCCCUGGGGCGCAAACCGGAUUAGAUACCCGCGUAGUCC